GACGAACGCUGGCGGCGUGCUUAACACAUGCAAGUCGAACGCUGAAGCACCAGCUUGCUGGUGUGGAUGAGUGGCGAACGGGUGAGUAAUACGUGAGUAACCUGCCCUUGACUCUGGGAUAAGCCCGGGAAACUGGGUCUAAUACUGGAUGCUACAUGUCACCGCAUGGUGGUGUGUGGAAAGGGUUUACUGGUCUUGGAUGGGCUCACGGCCUAUCAGCUUGUUGGUGAGGUAAUGGCUCACCAAGGCGACGACGGGUAGCCGGCCUGAGAGGGUGACCGGCCACACUGGGACUGAGACACGGCCCAGACUCCUACGGGAGGCAGCAGUGGGGAAUAUUGCACAAUGGGCGAAGGCCUGAUGCAGCGACGCCGCGUGAGGGAUGACGGCCUUCGGGUUGUAAACCUCUUUCAGCAGGGAAGAAGCCACAAGUGACGGUACCUGCAGAAGAAGCGCCGGCUAACUACGUG
RNAcentral lists this ribosomal RNA (470 nucleotides) under uncultured bacterium. RNAcentral describes it as "partial 16S ribosomal RNA". It matches the Rfam family "Bacterial small subunit ribosomal RNA", at positions 28 to 507 of the family's 1533-position model. The record is from RNAcentral.